Molecule: transfer RNA, 67 nt
Filed under: Lepidogalaxias salamandroides (salamanderfish)
Lineage: Eukaryota; Metazoa; Chordata; Actinopteri; Lepidogalaxiiformes
Description: tRNA-Trp
Source: RNAcentral
AAGGACUUAGGUUAACUAAACCAAAAACCUUCAAAGUUUUAAAAGGAAGUGAAACCCUUCCAGUCUU